GUACUAGGGAUACAUUUGAUAACUAAGGUUUUAGACAAAUAUUCACCAGCAUUAGUUCUGUUUAGUACCUGAAAUAUGUUGUAGUAAUAUCAAACAAUAAACACAUGAGGUAAGCAGCAAGCCUCUUAGAAGAAAGACCACAUGCUCCUGCUUCUGUGAAAGCAUUAUUUAUUUGAAAGAGUGCUAGUAUAACCUUUUACUCAACUAUUACUUCUUAAUAUGAAAAAGAGACAGAUGAGCAGAAGAAAGAAAACUCCAGAGUUACAGUUUGCAACCCUGAAUAUAACUGCUGACAUUUCGGUUUCGACACUUGUUUUUCCACGCCACCCUGUAGAGGAAGAUGAAACACAUGGUAAUAAGGUUAAAACAUAUCUUCAUUGUUUAUACAUUCUUAUACAUAUUUCAGAUCCUUUGGGAGAACAAAAUUGUUUAUCAAUAUAUGAAAUACAGGCUACAGACCGAUCCGAGUAUUGCCAUUUAUUAACUGGAGGCAUGUAUACCAAGGCCUUCACAUCUCCCCAAGGCUUCACUAGAGCACAGAAUGCUGAACACAAAUAUUGAGUCUUGUGUAGUCCACAACACAACUGCAAAGCAUGUUCCAUAUUUGCUUACUUUCAAAAUUAAUUUCAAGCUAUGACAAGGAAUUGGUAGAGUGUGUAGAAACUUAAAAACUCUAGAAGCCCUUAAAAUAAAUUGAGGAAUAAAAUAAUUAGAUUCUGAAUCAGUUAAAGUAGAUUAUUUCUAUGUGAUACACUGUUGAGCAUAAAUCUAAUUUUUUAGAUUUUCAGUUCUCAGUAGCAUACCUUGGUCUUUGAGAAUAUUCCCUCACUUCUCUCGUAACAGUAGGGUAAAACUACCGUAAAACAGUAGGGUAAAACUCCCCCCUACUCUUUUUUUUUUUUUUUUUGACCGCA
RNAcentral lists this long non-coding RNA (914 nucleotides) under Capra hircus (goat). RNAcentral describes it as "lncRNA (ENSCHIG00010001272.1)". Lineage: Eukaryota; Metazoa; Chordata; Mammalia; Artiodactyla; Bovidae. The record is from RNAcentral.